This 836-nucleotide ribosomal RNA is filed under the name uncultured Acidobacteriota bacterium. RNAcentral describes it as "bacterial SSU rRNA". It matches the Rfam family "Bacterial small subunit ribosomal RNA", at positions 56 to 896 of the family's 1533-position model. Lineage: Bacteria; Pseudomonadati; Acidobacteriota. The record is from RNAcentral.
UGCAAGUCGAGCGAGAAAGGGGAGCAAUCCUCUGAGUAAAGCGGCGCACGGGUGAGUAACACGUGGGUAAUCUGCCCUGGAGUGGGGAAUAACACCGGGAAACCGGUGCUAAUACCGCAUACGAUAACGAUGUCUGCGGACGUUGUUAUGAAAGGAGCAAUUCGCUCCAGGAGGAGCCCGCGGCUGAUUAGCUAGUUGGUGAGGUAAUGGCUCACCAAGGCAACGAUCAGUAGCCGGUCUGAGAGGACGGUCGGCCACACUGGAACUGAGACACGGUCCAGACUCCUACGGGAGGCAGCAGUGGGGAAUUUUUGGCAAUGGGGGAAACCCUGACCAAGCAACGCCGCGUGGAUGAUGAAGUAUCUCGGUACGUAAAAUCCUUUCGACAGGGAAGAAACCCGCAAGGGUUGACGGUACCUGUAGAAGAAGCCCCGGCUAACUCCGUGCCAGCAGCCGCGGUAAUACGGGGGGGGCAAGCGUUGUUCGGAAUUACUGGGCGUAAAGGGCGCGUAGGCGGUUUGCUAAGUUGGACGUGAAAACUCUGGGCUUAACCCAGAGCCUGCAUCCAAAACUGGCAAGCUGGAGUAUUGGAGGGGGAAGCGGAAUUCCUGGUGUAGCAGUGAAAUGCGUAGAUAUCAGGAGGAACACCGGUGGCGAAGGCGGCUUCCUGGACAAUAACUGACGCUGAGGCGCGAAAGCUAGGGGAGCAAACAGGAUUAGAUACCCUGGUAGUCCUAGCCCUAAACGAUGGAUACUUGCUGUGAGGGGGAUUGAAUCCCUUCGUGGCGAAGCUAACGCAUUAAGUAUCCCGCCUGGGGAGUACGGUCGCAAGGCUG